This is a long non-coding RNA of Brassica napus (rape), 590 nucleotides long. RefSeq lists it as uncharacterized. The record is from RefSeq and is a predicted model, not a curated record. NCBI's taxonomy places the organism in Eukaryota, Viridiplantae, Streptophyta, Magnoliopsida, Brassicales, Brassicaceae. The transcript is spliced from 3 exons.
AGACACCUUUAUCUCCAAUGUCUCAACAGCCUAAUUUGACACAUGAGGAGACAAUGAUUGAAUCAGCUGCAUCUCCAAAGUCUCAACAAAAUGAGGAUUACACGCAACCAUCGAGUGAGACGCCUUUAUCUCCAAUGUCUCAACAGCCUAAUUUGACACAUGAGGUAUGUAACCAAUAAAAUAUUGUUGAGUUUUGAAGUAAUAUUUGGAAGCUUUUGUACAUAUUCUUGAAUGCAUUCUUGAUUUUUGCAGGAGACAAUAAAUGAAUCAGAUGAUGAAACUCCUGCCCUUGAUACUCAAGUAUUCUCUCCUAAUCUGACAAAAGAGGUAUAUGCUCAAUGAUAUUGUUUUCACAGUUGGAGUUUACAAAUUAGUUUUGGGUGAUUUUUUUUUACAUAUAAAGGCUUUUCUGAUUUUUGACAGAAAGAAACAGAAACGUCUACUCCAAUAGCUCCAAAGAGUAUUGAAACUCUCGUUUAUACUCCAAGUCAGACUCAACAGGUACAUGGUCAAAAAAAAAUCUUGGAUUUUAAAGUUAAUGUUUGGAAGCUUUAGAACAUACUCUGGAUUGACUUCGUGAUAAUUUUUAC